This 433-nucleotide ribosomal RNA is filed under the name uncultured bacterium. RNAcentral's name for it is "partial 16S ribosomal RNA". It matches the Rfam family "Bacterial small subunit ribosomal RNA", at positions 29 to 507 of the family's 1533-position model. The record is from RNAcentral.
AACGAACGCUGGCGGCAUGCCUAACACAUGCAAGUCGAACGAGACCUUCGGGUCUAGUGGCGCACGGGUGCGUAACGCGUGGGAAUCUGCCCUUGGGUUCGGAAUAACAGUUGGAAACGACUGCUAAUACCGGAUGAUGACGUAAGUCCAAAGAUUUAUCGCCCAAGGAUGAGCCGGCGUAGGAUUAGCUAGUUGGUGAGGUAAAGGCUCACCAAGGCGACGAUCCUUAGCUGGUCUGAGAGGAUGAUCAGCCACACUGGGACUGAGACACGGCCCAGACUCCUACGGGAGGCAGCAGUGGGGAAUAUUGGACAAUGGGCGAAAGCCUGAUCCAGCAAUGCCGCGUGAGUGAUGAAGGCCUUAGGGUUGUAAAGCUCUUUUACCCGGGAUGAUAAUGACAGUACCGGGAGAAUAAGCUCCGGCUAACUCCGUG